AGCUAGCUAACUAGUCCCAAAUAGGACGAAACGCUCUUCCUAGAU
Molecule: non-coding RNA, 45 nt
Filed under: Schistosoma mattheei
Lineage: Eukaryota; Metazoa; Platyhelminthes; Trematoda; Strigeidida; Schistosomatidae
Source: RNAcentral